UAUGUACUUCCUCCGUCCAGAAAUACUUGUCAUCAAAAUGAAUAAAAAAGGAUGUAAUAUACAUCCCUUUUUAUUCAUUUUGAUGACAAGUAUUUCCGGACGGAGAACAUCUCUUUUUAUUCAUUUUGAUGACAAAUAUUUUCGAACGGAGGAAGUAGGUG
This is a non-coding RNA of Triticum aestivum (bread wheat), 161 nucleotides long. The record is from Rfam. Lineage: Eukaryota; Viridiplantae; Streptophyta; Magnoliopsida; Poales; Poaceae.